This is an RNA transcript of Papaver somniferum (opium poppy), 6091 nucleotides long. It is a transcript of the gene named serine/threonine-protein kinase VPS15-like, with no coding region annotated. The transcript has 2 exons. Lineage: Eukaryota; Viridiplantae; Streptophyta; Magnoliopsida; Ranunculales; Papaveraceae. The record is from RefSeq and is a predicted model, not a curated record.
UUCCUCUUUCCUUUUCUCCCGAAGACCCCCAAUUUUCUCAUUACUAUCUCUCGAACCCUAAAAAGAUUAAAAGGGUUUUGAUGGAGCAUUUCUUCCCGUGGAGAUUAGGUUAGACAUGUUGAGUUGUGAUUGCAAAAUCAGUAUGCAAAAUCAUCAUUCAUCAUUCUCUGAGAUGCUCACUUUAACCAUCCUUUUGAUGAUUCCGGUAAGUUGGGUUUUAUUAAUCACCUAAAAUCAUCCAUUUCAGAGAAUUAGAAGGAUUAAUUUUACACCUCCGUAUAACUGUUUAGCUUUGUUGAUCUGUUUUGCUCGAUUAGCUUCCGAAUUUUAUAGUUGUAACCCGAUCACCGAUGAAUAAUUAUGUUUAUGGGAUUAGAAGAUUUGGUUACGUUUCUUCAAUCAAUGGAUGAAGAAAUUUUGGAGACUUCUUCUGUAUUCUGUAUCUUGGGAACAAGGUACCUUUGCCGAUUGAUUGAGCUCUUUAUUGGAUCGGCCGUAAUUUGGAAAUGAUGGUGACCUUCGAUUUGGCGGAGGAAAUUUUUUAUAAACAUCUUUCACUACCACAUUUGCCAUCAGACAGUAAUUGGUGUCUUAUAUAAAGUGGGGGUUUUAAAUAGGCUUUCAACACCUUAGUUUCUUUGAACGAAUCUGAGGAAGAAAAUCUGAAGUUAAUGGAGUCAUUUGAAGUUGAGACAGAAAGUUUUUUUUUUUUUUUUUUUUUUUUUUGGAAACAUGAAAAGCAAAGAAAACUUAAGCAAAUUCCUUAAGCAGUGGGGAUAUAGCUACGUGAAAGGUCAGCUGUGCGAUUAGUCUCUCUAUAGCAAUGAAGCCCUGUAAGAGUUUGAGUGUUGUACCAAAUGCGGAGAAUCUGCCAAGGCAAGCUGGCAGAAACAUGCGGAGACAGAAAGUCUUGACCAGCCUUUGAGAAUCCGCGCGCACAUGCUUAUAACGGGCCAGGUAAUCCGCGCGCACAUGAACAAUGAAAAUUGUGUUGAGUUUAUGUACCAUAAGACCAUUCUGACCGAUUUCUAUAGGAUGUAGCACAAUAGCAGUUUUACUUGCUAGAAUAGCAUGGUCUAGUACUUAGUAGCAUGAAAUGAGAAUAAUCUUGGUCCUUCCUAUAGAAAAGGAAAUCAGAUUUACAUUGGGUUUUUAAGGAAGAACCAGUAAAGGCUGGAACUAGAUUUAUUUAUUGUUCUUUUCUGAGUCAGUAUGCUUUCAUUUGUUUCUCUUAAGAUUCACAGUUGUAAUGGAGUACACAAAUUUUCACCCCAUACACAGAACACUAUGAAGCUGAUGAGAAGUCACUGAGGUUGAGCUUGACAAACUCUUCAGGAGGCUACCAAAAAGGCGGGCCUUCAGCUGAGAUCAAGACUAGUUCAUUGAGUACUUCCUUCACUUGAUAGUAAUCUCUGACUAGAGAAUUUGCAUCAAGAAUAAUUUGCUAAAUAGGAGUAGCUUGCUUUUCAAAAACCCAUAAAUUUCUGGAUUUUCGCAUAGCUCAUAGAAGAUUAGAACUAGAGCAGAAAAUUUUGGUACAGUAUACCAUAUUGAGGGAGCCAGCUAUUGGAUCUUAGUUAUACUACGUGCUUCCUCUGAAGAGCAGGUGUGAAGCAAAAAGUAUGGCUCUAGACCUGGGACAGUGUCCAGUGACUCCUCAUGAUCCUCGCCAAAACUACACGUGGGAUCAGCUUGAUGCACAAACUUGUUUAUAAGUUGUUUGCAUCCCAGUCCCUUGAAUCACAAUGCUGCUUAGAUAAGAAGUUACCAUGCUCACAGAUAGUCAAUAAUUUUGAAAAGGUACUUAUUUUAAACAUAGCCCUUGCUUAAUUACAGUAUUUUGCAUUCUACAUUUAUAAUUUAUUUUUGUUUCUUUAAAGUACAUGAUGUUCAAGCAACUUAAACAACUUUUAGGCCCAUAGAACUGCGGACUAGGAUUGACUAGUGCACAAAAACAUACACUUCUCUCUAAACCAAGAAUUUUAUCUCAUAACUGCUCUGGACAGCAUUUUAUGCGUAGUAUUUGUAGCUUCCGAGCUUUUGGAAUUAGAUAAAAGUAACAUUUACAUGAACCUAAUGCUAUUGACAUUGUCUUAGUGAGUUAUAUAUGUAGACCAUUGUUAUUCUGUCGUUAUAUCAUCGAUCCAACUUCAUGGGAAUGUUUUUUGCUUUCUUAUAUUAGGUUAAGCUAUAUUAAUUUGUCAACUCUGCAAUUUCAUCAGCGACUUAACGAAUAGUACCUGCGCUAAAAUUUGUCUUAAUUCAUUAAAUUUUUUUACAAGAUUAAUAGAGUUAACUAGGCAGAGUUCUCUGUGAUGUUAAAGGUACCCUGCAGAUUACUACCAGGAUGUAAAACAACGAUUUGGUUGCAGACUAUUAGCAAAAAUACUUUACAGGCUUACACAUUUCAUGACCACAUCUGCUUAGAUUUCUAGUUGUUUAACUUCGAUUCAGUUAGAGACCAAGUCGCGUCAUUUGCCACCACUUAGUUGCAUUUGCUAUUUCUUCCAAAAAAAAUACUGGCUUAGUUGAUCUUAUCUAGCAAAUUAGCAUCUAUACGGAUGAAAAUGGUAUACACGGCAUAUUCUUAAAAGUCAAAUAUCUGUUUGACUUUAAGAACCUGCAUGGGAUUUUAUUUUUGACUCAGAAUAAAGGUGUCAUCUACAUCUUUAUAGUGAAUCUUGCUCACGUCGUGUUUGUGGGUGUCCAAAAUACUACAAAACUCUUGGAUGCCCGCCAAUGAUCAGAACCCACAUGUGACCAAAUUAUGACUGAUCCCUGUUUGCCUACUUAUAGGAUGUAGCACAAUAGUAGUUUUACUCUUUUCUCAACGGUUGCUUUGACCUUUGGGUCUCCAGUCGUCGAGUCUCUUUUCUAAGCUAUUGAACUCUCUUGUCCAUGCAUCAAUGUCUUUCUAUGACUCCAUGUCUUUGGAAAGGAUACUGUGUCUGGUAAGAGUCAAUUGAAGUUGGAGUUAAGUAUAAACUGUUAGCAUAUCAGCCUCUAAUCAUGAUUAAGAUAUUCUUUAUUAGCUACUAGCAUGCUUAACUAAAUCGGAUGACAAGUUACGACAUAUGCAGAUACAUACUACAUUACUCUAUGCUUAGUACCACAUGGUAUACAUCUGAAAACAUCAACAUGAAUAUGAACAUGGAAAACAUGCUUUAUGCUUUAACUUCAUCUUGUUUAUGUCAACUACUUGAUGCUCAUACAUGCUGCAUACAUAGUAUUACGUAUACUACAACUAAUACAUGAUAAACAAGGAAACAAUAGAAUUUAGGUAUACCUGUCUUUACCUUAUUGAGGACCAGACAAUAGUUAACAGCAGAUACCUUCGGUUACCCUUAAAAACAGUAGAAAAUAUAGCUUGCUGAUACCUUAGACUAAGUAUCUGUUCAACUCAGAUUCCUCCUAUCUUUGUUUUAGACAGUCACUAGCAAUGAUACUCUACGUUAAACCUAUUAUGCUGGAAGUUCUUCAUCCACUUCUAUUCUCUUAUCUUUCUAAUGGCAGAAACAUACUUUAAAUAAGGCUAGAAGGGAGUCCACCUCCGACUGCAUAGACAUGUUCACCCACUCAGCCAUCAUGAGGUGGAGACACAUCCCUUAACUGAAUAGAAUAAAUUAAUAUGCCACUUUAUGGAUUAACUUGAUGUACUUGGCCUUAUGUACACAUCCCUACAAGACAGAAAGUCUUGCCUUUAAUACAGGAUCUAGACUUUAAACACACACUUGAUUAAGAUUAGGCUAAUCCGGUUUUAUUAAACUAUGAUUUACUCCUAAACCAUAAAAUGUCUAACAUAAACUUCUGUCAAGAACGAGCCACGUAUUCUAGACCUUGAUGUUCCAUUCGCAAUAGUAGUUUCUGUCACUUCAACCUCUAGGGCAUAUGCUAAUCUUGAGGUACUGGCCGUUAUAACUUGGCAAGUGUUGUUUGUCUCUGUGCCCAUGCUUUUCCUGUCUGCCUGCUGCCUAUAGGUAAUGUACAAGUUUGCUCUCUUAACUCUUUUUUAGCGUAUUAAUACCCUUAAAAAUACUACAUUGUUCUUCUCUGUAGUAUUCUUGUGUCAUUAAACAUGUGCAGACAAACUCUUUGAGAUUUGGAGCACAUGACGUGGUAAGGCUAGUCUUCGUUGAAUUUUAUUUUGAAAUUAGGUAACGAGUAACACUUAUGUGAACCUAAAUGCUAUUCAAAAUGUCUUAGUGGGUGAUAUAUGUAGACCAUUAUUAUUCUGUCUUUAUAUCAUCAAUCCGGUUUUAUGGGAAUGGCUAUCACUUUCUUAUAUAUAUUGCUUUGUUAACUCUGCAACUUUGUCAGUGACUUAACCAAUAGUAGCUGCACUUUACACAUUUGACGCCCACUUCCUAAGUUUUAUAAAUUGUUUAACUUCGAUUCAGUUAGUUCCAAAAUUGCAUCAGUAGCCACCACUUAAGAAAAUCUUGAAUAGCGAAGACCAGUCAUAUUAUGAGGUGCCUGUUGUCUAUGAUGACAGUGAAGUUACAAUAACUGGUAACAUUGGUACUUAAGCUGAGUAUUAGCAGUAUAGUCUAUCCUGCUUUCUAUGAUACACACUAGUAACAGAAACAUUUUCAUAAACCAUCAUUGAUGUCUCGUUGCUUAUCCUUUGAAACCUUGUCAUUUUCUCUAUUAUCAACGGCAAGAGAGAUCCCAGUGUAAAACUCCGAGCUCAGUGUUCACAUGAAAAUGGCCUCAAUGGUUUGUGUCCAUAAGUAUCGCGUCAAUAGGUUUGGGUUCGUUUGGGUAGUAUCCUCUUCUCUGAGUUGCAGAACCUGUUGAGAUAACGAUAAGUCAACGUGAAAAACUGUUCGAAUAAUUUGUUGGCCCUUUGGUCUCCAGUCAUCAAGUCUCUUUUCUCAGCUCUUGAACUCUCCUGUCCAUGCAUCAAUGUCUUUGGGUAGGAUACUGUCUGGUAAGAGUCAGUUGAAGUUAGUGUUAAAUAUAACUUCUGGAAAGAACGAGUCAAGUAUUCUAGGCCUUGACGUUCCAUCCGCAGUAGUACUUUCUGUCAGUUGAACCCCAUGAUUUCUUUUUUUUUUUUGCUUGACACUGGUGGGCGGAGGAGAUGCUGUGUUGGUCCAGAGUCGUUAAGUCAGACAGAGGCAGAUAUCGGCUCGGCCGAAGGAGAGCAACAAUACCCAACUUGUACAGCUAAGUGCACAGUGGAGGUUGUUGCAGAACUGGUAAUGGAUCCAAAGCAGACCCCAAAUAUCAGGAGAGCCCUUCUGCAGGACAGUGGGAAGCUAUGUUGCUUCUUUGGUCAUAGACAGAGUAAUGACUCUGUCACCCAUCCUCCCAGCUUUCAGUGACAGAGAUGAGCGGCUUCGGGCAGUCUUCUAUGGGAAAAUUAUGAUGGUAUGUUUAUUUGUAGCGAGGAUGGUGUUUCUGGUUGUGGGGCUAUUAUAAGAGAUUCUUGUCAUAGACGAAUAGUUGCAGGGUCUAAGGCUAUUUCUAAAGGGAAGUGUGUCUCAUCAUUUAAUCUAGAGUUGGAAGGGGUUGCUUUAGGGAUAAAACUUGCGAAGAAGUACAAGGUUUAUCCUUUCUAUCUCUACUGCCCUUCUGAAGAAGUUUCUCUGUUUGUCACCCAAAAUUGGGGUCUGAAAAAGAGGUGUUACUGUAAUGGCAAAUGGGAAACUCUCUGCAAAGCUUGUUCGAAAUUGGUUAUAGAAGACGAUGAAACUUCGCUAACUUUCACAUUGUUAUCCUCUAGUUUUGCUAUUGUUUUUGUGAAUCCGAUGAUUCACACAAGUUAUUGUUUUAGUCGCAAUUUUGAAUCAUCCAUAAUUUUGAAAAUGGAUGUUCAAAUGAACAGAUCUGUUCAUUUGAACAUCGAGUCGCACCAUCAGACGCGCGUCUGUUGCAAGGAUGCGCGCCAUCACCAACAACUCGGGCGACAACCAUCAUGACGCGGAGAUAGAAAUGGAUGUCGCUGGAGAUAGAAUGGAUGUCCCCUCUCACAUAUUUUCUCUCCAAAACCUGAUUAUUAUAAUUAUGGUUUAUUUUUUAUUAUUUAUUUUAUUAGUUAAAUAAUAUGUGGGACCAAACUCUUAUUAGUUUAUAUAAAUAAAAUGAU